Molecule: long non-coding RNA, 22311 nt
Filed under: Brassica napus (rape)
Lineage: Eukaryota; Viridiplantae; Streptophyta; Magnoliopsida; Brassicales; Brassicaceae
Description: long non-coding RNA (BNAP_LNC008546)
Source: RNAcentral
AAAACUUCUCUUUUAUUACCGUCUACGGAGUAGUUCUUAUUACAUUAGCCUCAAACUUUUUAACGUACAUUAUUUAUGGAACACACACCAUGAUUAUGUAGUGUUAACAUACAUCAACAAACACAUUCAUCACCGUGGUAUAUACACUCUCGAGGGUUUCGUUUGGAACCUAGUAGUAGGGCCCAGGCGUGGUCUUCUGGAAGGGACAAAUGCUAACUUGCGGGAUGUUGCAAACUCUAGGUAAGUGCGUAGCGGUCUCGUAGAUACGGCUCACUACUUGCUGCAUUUGCUGUCCCUGCUGUCCCUGCAUUUGUCCCUGUUGUCGAACCUGCUGUUUAACGGCUUUGGAUGCUCCUUUCAAGGUUGGGCAAACGCAAAGUGGCUCUUCCUGGUGGAGCUCGUUGCAGCACUGCUGGAGUAGUGGCGGCCUCUGUUGUGGGCCCUGGGGGUUCUCCAUGUCAUCUUCAAAAUCAAACUCACCAUCGAGGGUCCAGCUUGGACCACUACCGGACUGCAUUGCCUGCUUGUGGAGCCAUUGUUGGCAAGCUUUCAGGUGUUGUGCUUGCUGAAACUCCUUCCUACAUUUUGGAAUCCUAAAUGGGCCGGCUGGGUUUGUGGCAUCUUCAUCGACUUCCACAACCGUCCUGUAGACGGAGGCAUUGGUGAGAAGGAAGAAAAAGGCGAGAGUUGCCGAGACGAGGAAGAGCUUGUUCGCCAUUUGUGUAUGUUUUUAACUUUGUUUGUUAUGAUGAGUUUUGGUUUGAGUAAAGAGUGAAGCUGUUAAGUUAAUUUAUAGGUGAGAAUGGAGAUUUGCAUGGCGAUCACGUGUAAUAAUGCAUGCAUUUGUGUGUGCUGUGAGAGAGAAGCUCUUAGGUGUUUGAAGUGAGUGACAAAUGACGAACAAAAACAGUCGUCCGCAUCUGCAUGCUAUGUGUGAUGUGUAGCUCAUGUCCUGGCGUAACAUCUUAUGAACGAUAUUUUUCAAAAAGAAGCUAACUUCAUAAAAUAAAAAACCUUCAGUAAGUGGGAUGACAGUCUAUAUACUUUGGAGGUAGUGCGGGGGCGGUUGAAAAUAUAUAUUGGGAGCUUAAUGAGAAUUCAGUAAUAGUAUAGAAGAUCUAUUGUAUGGUGAAAAUUAAAUGUGUCUCGUAGACUCGUACAAUAUGUAAUAAAUGCAGUAGAGCCUCUAGUGUAUGGACGAAUGUAUGGGUGCAAAUGCAAAUUAUGCAAUUGUACCCACUAUUUUUUCUAAAAAGAAAUAUUUUUUUUUUGGUAAAAUGUUAAAUUGAAAAGAUAUAUUUUCUAAAACAUUGUUAAAAUCUAACAAAAAUAGGCAAAAUUAACCUAGCAACCAGUAUUUUGUUGGUUUGCCCCCUCUGCUUUCACCAUUUUUUUGUUCUUCUUCUUACAUUUACUUCAAUGAAUGUUCAAAUUUAUUUGAUUUAAAACAUUUACUUCUAUGCUUUCUGCCAUUACGUUCACGCCAAAUAGUGUGUACACCACCAGAGCCGAGCCUGCGGACAGUUUUAUUAAAUUUUAUUUUUUUUGAACAAAGUUCGAUAGUUUUGUUUUGUGAUCGCGUCUUCAACGUUUUAUUAAACUUUUGAAUGAAGCCUUCAUGCUUUAUAGGAGCUCCACUAAAAAAUAAUAUAUAUGUAUAUGUAUUUUUAUUUUUGGUAUAAUAACAUAUAAAUAUUAGCUGUGAAAUAAAUACUGAAUGAAAUUUUGAGUUGACAAAAAUGAUAAAAUAUAUUAUUUAUAAACUUUAUAAAAAUAUUAAUUAUCAGGGCCCCGAAAAUCUCAAAAUCGGCUGGACACCACUGCUUGAAACAUGUAUCACAAAAUGAAGAGAAUGGUUAUGUCCCAACCAUCAUCCACCAAGAGUUGAACAAUAUAUAGUAUUAGGUAUUUAGCAUUAUUAAAGAUAUAGAUGAUCAAUGAUAAAGAAAUUUACUACCUUUGCUAUCAAAGUACUGUUUAUAAGUAAAGGCAACAUCAGUAUAUUUGCAGGAAUUUAGUGGAUACAUGAGAUUGACAGAUGCAUGGUGAUCUAAAAGAGUUUGUUAGUAUUUUUGUUUUUUUAGAAAGGAAGAGUUUCCAAGUACUUUUGCAAAAAAUAUAAAAUAAAAGAGUUUAGAAGUAUUUGACUAUACCAGAUUUCAGUCAUUGAUUGAUCCCAGUGGAUGAUUUUUUAUUAUUGGCCCCGAAUGCUUAUAUUAACACUAGUUGUUUGUCCGCGCGAACGAUGAUAUUUAUUUUAUUGAUGGUGUUAAAUCUUUUAUUAAUAUAGCUUAAAAUAUUAGAUGGUUAACUAAUGUGAUAUCUUUAAAAAAUUUGUUUAUAAGUUUCUUGGUAAAAUGUUUUGGGGUUGAUCAACAUGUUUUUUUCCCUUGUGACCAUCAUGUUUGUUUCGUUUUUUGAUAUACAAUAAUUUUAGAGUAGCUGUUUUUCCAUCCCAUAAUUUCAACCACACAAAUGUGGAUCUGCUUCAUUUUUGUUAUAAAUUUUUUUCUAUUUUAAACUUGUUCAAGUGUAAGGUUAUGUCCACCUCAUUUUUUUUGUCGAUGAAAGGAACAUAUCUGUUCAACUGUGAUGACUUCGGUAGCGUAGGAGGUAUAGUGGAAGUUUUUGUGCACGUUAAUGCCGUGGGUGAAGGUGCUGAGUUCUUUUUGGCUCUGCUGCACACUCUGUUUUAUUGUAUGUGGCUCUGUUCAAAUAUAUGAAAUGAUCCAGUUUGGGGAGGGGGGAAGGUUAUGUCCACCUCCUUCACUCUGGUGUAUUUGAUAAACAGCGACAUAACCACCAAGUUCCCAUAAUGCCAUAACAGCCUCUGUACCCAGUUAAACCUCUAAUCACCUCCAAAGCCAUGGAACUAAUCGAAAUAGGAAGCUUUAACUUAUUUUACAGUAAAGCUUAGAAGAGUCAAACCAUCAAAAUCCAAAAAUAAUUACGAAAUCAGCAGAAGAAAAACUAACAUGCUAAAGUCUUUUGAGUAUCGUUGGCAAAUUUGGGAGGUAAAAUCUACACAAUGCAAGUUUAAGGCCUUUUUGUUUUUCAAUCUUCAUCUGAGAUUCUGAGCCCGACUCUUUGGAACUCGACCCAUCUUGUUUACUAUCUUUGAACCUUUUUUUGGGUCGAAUGAUCCUUUCCUCUUAUCUUCUUCGUCCUCACUAUAUUUGCUUUCAUAAUUCACUUCAUUCUCAUCUUCUUGUGAAGCCUCACCCUCAAAAUCAUUGGUUCUUUUCAAAACCUCGACUUUCAGUGAUGUCUUUCGAUCACAACUGAUCCAAGCAUCUCCUAGGUAGAACUCAUAAGCAAAUCAAAUAAUAAGUAUCUUCUGCACGUUUUAGGCAUUUCUUUAUUACCAAUCUUGAUCGGCUUUUAACCUUCUCUAACUUCAUUGUUCUUUGCCUCGACGCCAUAAUAUUUCCGCAAAACAAUCAUUAUAUCAAGAACCAAUAAAGGUUUAUUGAUCUCCUCAGAUUUGCAGUAGCCACUUACCAUAAAAUUAGAAGAUGUGGCAUCAUGAACAACACCAGAAACUUGAGGAAACCAAAUCUUGUUGACCUGACCUGUCCGGAAAACAAUAAACUGUGAAAGAACAUUUCCUAAAAUUUUAAAGGAAAAGUCUUGCCACCAUUGAAAUACCGCCAACCCAUUAAACUGAUAUAGCAUCUAUAAGAGCACCUGUAACGGGGGUACAUGCAGGGUCCUUAGCGUUUAAUCAUAGGUUAGGAGGAUUAUAAUAAUAGUUGUUUGGUUAAUAGGAGUAAGGAUUGAUACGUUAAUAAGGAUUUUUAGGACUUGAUCCUUAGGGUACGUGGCGUGUUUUGAAUGGAUGGAAGGGUUUACGGUUUGGUUACGCGUAAAACAUUGGUUAUACUCGACCGAAGCAGAAAAAAAAAUAGUCCCGACGAAGAAAGGCGAUUGCUCUCGACGAAGCGAAGGCGAAUCCCGCUACGAAAGACGGCGAUUCCCGCGGCGAAAGACGGCGAUUUGUCUCCGUUGGCUGAACAAGGUAAAUCGCACCCUUCUGAUGUAGAUUAAUCGAUAUAGAUUAGUUUGCAUGUUGAAUCGAUCUCGUUUGAAAUUAGGGUUCGAACAUAAUUUGGGGGUUUGUUGCGUUUGUACUUAACGGUUUGAAAACGAUACUGCUUUCAUCGAUUUCGGGUUCUUCUCGUUUGAAAUUAGGGUUUCAAUUCAGAUUUGGGGCUUUUUGCGUUUGUACUAAUCGGUUUGAAAACGAUUUGCGUUUGUACUAAUCGGUUUGAAAACGAUACUGCUAGCAUCGAUUUGGGGUUCUUCUGGUUUGAAAUUAGGGCUUCAAAAGGAUUUGGGGCUUUUUGAGUUUGUAUUAAUUGGUUCGAAAAAUAUCCUUAGCGUUUCUUUCUUGCACAGUUUUGCUAGCUACAACUCAACUAUCUGUUUGAGUGUAUUGAGUUUAUGUGUUUGUUGUUAAGGAUUACAAGUAGAAGUUCAGUUUUCUGUGAGACAUAAAAAAAAGCUUCCUAAUUUGUUCUCUCGGAUGAGCUGCAAGUUUAUGAUCAUGUGUGUGUGUGUGUUGUUAGGAUUUGUUUAGCUCUGUUCUUAAUUUUUUUUUUCAUUCUCUCUUAUGUUUAGCUCUGUUCUUAAUUUUUUUUUUCUUGCAGGUUAACGAAUAUGGGACAAGAUUAUUCAUACAGCCAGCCUUUCUCAUCAUCAGACUCGAUGGACAUUACCUCCCUUCUUCAAGCAGAAGCUUAGUUGUAUGCGGAUGAAGGUCAGAGUAGCUACAAUAAUCCAGAGCCGGUUCAGUACCCACCUCAACCAGAGGCAGAUGAUGGAAUCCCGAGGCUAUGCUACUGUGGUGGUGAGCCUGUUGUUGCAACAUCCUCCACUCAUAAAGAUCCCGGCAGGAGGUACUUCACAUGCGAGAAUGUGGAUGAUGGAGACUGCCACAUCUGGAAAUGGUGGGAUGUUGCGGUCACAGAGGAGAUGAGCGAGUUGCAGAGACAACUUAGGCUGCUUAAGGAUCAAGGCAAUGCGAGUGAGCAUAAGCUUAUGCUGCUAGAGAAGAGUGUGUUUGAGUUAUCUAACCAGAAAUCAGGAGUUACGCUAAUGAGAGUGAGCAGAAGCUGGUGCUGUCUAUUAGUUUUAAUAGGUUCCGUGUUCUUGUUACUGUGUGGUGAGUAUAUCUCCUUGUGCUUUUCGUAGUUCAUUUUUUAAUAUUCUGCGUGGUGAGUUCGUUGACUAUUUUUUCUCUUUCUUUUCAGGAUUAGCUUCAAACGAGAGUGUCUCAAAGAACCAAUGUCAUUACUAACAAGGUACGCCCACUUGAAUAAAAGCAAUUAGUCAUUUAAUGAAGGUGAAUUGAUUUCUACCGUCGUAACUCCUCGGAUUUGAUCGGUUAUAAAUGUUAGCGUUUAGAAAUAGUGAACUGAAGACUCUAGCUUGCUAGGAUUGUACUAACUAGUCGGAUUUGAUUGGUGAUAAAUGCUAGUUCUUUGCUUCCUAUCUUCCUAACUGCUCAGAUUUUAAUUGCUUUAAUUGAAAAAAAAAAUGUAAAUGGCUUACUUAAGACUCUGUGUUGCUAAUAGAGCGACACAACCAUUCUCUAACCAUGGAUAACACCACUGGUUUUGUUAACCUACUUUAUAGUCAAUCUCCAUUUGAAAUUGAUUCAACACAACCUGCUGCCGAGUCCGGUUCGAAGGAGAGGAGGAAAUGGUCACUGAAAGCGGAUCAAAUCCUCAUUGGGGCUUGGCUUAACACAAGUAAAGAUUAUGUGGUCAGCAAUGAGCAAAAAGCUAGUGCUUUUUGGAAGAGGAUUGUUCAAUACUACAACGCGAGCCCUUAUCUGGCUGGGACUAUACCUAGAGAGCUUGGGCAGUGCAAGCAGAGGUGGGCUAGGAUAAAUGAGCAAGUCUGCAAGUUUGUUGGGAGCUAUGACGCGGCUCUUAGGGCACAGAGAAGUGGUCAAAACGAUGAUGAUGUGAUGAGAGCUGCCCAAGAGUUCUUCUUCAACGAUCACGGAGUCAAGUUCAGCAUGGAACAUGCCUGGAGGGAGCUGAGGCAUGACCAGAAAUGGUGCUCCACCUAUGUGACUAAGGACGGUGGGAGUCAAAAGCGCAAACCAGUCCAGGCGGAGGUUGAUAGACAAGCGGAAGUGGGAGAACCAGAGGAAAGACCAGUCGGGGUCAAGGCAGCUAAAGGUGUUACCAAGAAGAAGAAGAGUGCUAGAGAAGAAGAAUUGUCACAGUUACAGGGCGUGUUGGAAGUUAAAGAAAAACUCGCUAGGCAUAAGUUGCUUGAUCGUUUACUCGGGAAAAAAGAGCCUCUAUCUGAGAUGGAGACAUCUCUUAAGCUCAAACUAAUGUCUGAGAUGCUAUAAACUGAUGUUAACCGUAUGUUAAGUUGUGACUGUUGUUUUGUGUACUUGUUUACUAUUAAACUUCGCUCACUCUUGUCUUUUGUGUUGUUGCAGGGUCAUGUGAACGAAGUCACGGGUGCAUUUGGUGUUGUGAAAGUCUUUUGUUGUUUAGCUCAAGUGAAUCAAGUCACGAGAUUCUAUCUAUGUACUAUAAGUAGUUGUCAUUUGCACGUCUUUAGCUAUGUAUCUCUUUCGCUUUGCUUCCUCUUCAUCAGAACUUGUAUCUUCUUGUUUCAGUACAACAAAUUGCUUCUCUUGUAAUAUUUUCGUUUUAGUACAACAAGUUGCUUCUCUUGCUUGGAUUUCUAUCCAACGAUCUCAAGUUCUGAUUCUAUUUAACUACAACUACAUUAUCUAUAGGUAACACUGGUUCUCCUCUUUUAUAUACCGAGAUUGUGUAGUAUCUAAAUCAUUUGUAGUAUAUUCUUCAGUAACUUGUGUAGUAUAUACUUACUAAACUAGAGAAUUAUAUAAUUCAUUUGAGAAACUUUGAAGUUAAUCUGAUCACUAAACUUGUCAAGUAUAUUUGAGAAAUUUUAGUUCCAAAGUUAAUCUGAUCUCAAGUUUUGUUAAAUCAUUUGUAGUAUAUUUUUUUUGUAACAAAACUUUGGAACUAAAAUAUAGAACUAAAAACGUAUUUUUUUUUUGGAACAAAACUUUGGAAUUAAAAUAUACAACUAAAAACCUAUUUUUAAAGGAAGGAUCCCUAAAAAAUGUCAUCCUCUUCAUCCGAUGAAGUCGAAGAAAGACUGGAUGAAUUAUUCGAUGAAAUCGUCGAAGAUACAUACAACGACAUUAUGGAGGGCCAAACCUAUAAGCAAAGGAAACGUGCUUACAUAGAACGAAACCGUGAAGCCGGACACAACCGUUUAUGGAAUGACUAUUUCAGCGAAGAAGCGACAUUCUCGACACAUUUAUUCAGACGUCGUUUCCGCAUGAGUAAGGAAUUAUUCAUGCGUAUUGUCCAUGCCCUCUCAGAGAACGUUCCUUUCUUUCGACAAAGAAGAGAAGCAACCGGGAGGUUGGGCCUGUCUCCACUACAAAAAUGUAUGGCAGCUGUUCGUCUGCUUGCUUAUGGUUCUGGGGCUGACACGGUAGACGAAUAUCUUCGACUUGGAGAAAGCACGGCACUUUCGUGUCUACACCAUUUCACUGAAGGAAUAAUACUGUUAUUUGGAGAUGAGUAUCUACGAAGACCCACACCAGAGGAUCUUCAACGACUCCUCGAUAUUGGAGAGAAGCGCGGGUUUCCCGGGAUGGUAGGAAGCAUUGACUGUAUGCAUUAGGAGUGGAAGAAUUGCCCAACCGCUUGGAAAGGGCAGUACGCACGUGGAUCAGGAAACCCGACAAUUGUCUUAGAGGCUGUGGCUUCACAAAAUCUUUGGAUAUGGCACACCUUUUUUGGUCCUCCAGGUAUCUUAAACGAUAUUAAUGUCCUCGAUCGGUCUCCUAUUUUUGAUGACAUUUUUCAAGGCCGAGCUCCCAGGUUAGAGUAUGUGGUCAACGGACACAUGUAUAAGUUGACUUACUACCUCACAGACGGUAUAUAUCCCAAAUAGUCAACAUUUAUCCAAUCUAUCUCGCACCCUCAAGGUCCUAAAGCAAAGUUAUUUGCUAGAAUUCAAGAAACAACCCGAAAAGAUGUGAAACGGGCGUUUGGAGUAUUACAAGUUCGAUUUGCGAUUGUCAAAAUCCGGCUCUUUCAAUGGACAAAGAAAAGAUAGGGAAGAUUAUGAGAGCAUGUAUCAUACUACACAAUAUGAUUGUCGAAAAUAAACGAGAUGGAUACAUUCAAUUCGAUAUAUCUGAAUUUCAAGAGGGAGACGUCACUAGAAGUUCACGGUGGAUACCGACAGGCCUACAACUAUUGCUAAUAUGCUCGGCAUUCGGGAUGAUGGAUAAGCGUUUACAUCAACGUUUGAAAAAUGAUUUAAUUGAAAAUAUUUAGAACCAAUUUGUUGAUUGUUGGUUAAUAAAUAUUGUAUCUUUAUCUUUAAUAAUGCAAUAAAUAAAAAUUUUAAUUUCACUUUUAUAAAAAAGUUUAUUAUUUUUAUAUUCCUAAGAACUCCAAAUUGGAGAACAUCAUUGGACUAACAAUUCUGAUUAUGAUCCUUAACUAUUCAAAAAAAAGAAAAUAGUUAAUUAAUCCUAAGGACUCCAUUUGCUGGUACACUAUUGCGGGUGCUCUAAACAAUCCAUCAUCGGCAUUUCCUAGAAAUCAGUUCUGAUCUGAAUCUAUAAGAAAUUACAUUGUAAUAAAGGCUAACUUCCUCUCCAAGUGAUGUUUUACCUUUCAUACGGUUGUGUUGCAGUGGAUAUUAAGUUGGGAAGAAAGUAAGUGUGAGGCCAAAGUGGUUUGUUCCGGCUUGCAAUGUUUGAACUUGUUCACCCUCUUCAAGUCAAUCCUUCCUAAGAUUUGCUGUUAAUUUUGACCCGGCUGUUGCUCCGCGGCGAUAUGGAAACAUCCCUUAUAUAUUAAUUGAGGAACAUUUGAAAAGAUGUAACCUCAAUUUUGUAUUAAUUAAAAGAGGCUCCAAUGCAUAGGUGGCACUCAAUUAGGUAGUCAAUUACAUUCAAUUGAAAAAUAAGUAGGUCCACAUUCGAUUUUUAUAUGUUGUUAGAUACAUAAAUUGGUCAAACUAUAUGAUAUAAUGAUAUGAUAUGAUAUUUUCUUUCCUUAAAUAAAACCUACGGAAUUACCAUAAAUGACUAAUAUAUAUAUGACAAUUAAUGAGUUUAAUAAUAAAGAUUUGAUAACAAUGUAUAUCUCCUCCAUCAUUUUUUGUUUAAUUUUAUAUUAUUAAAAUAAAUUAAACAAUCAAAUUAGCUAUAAAAAUAAAAUUUAGAUUUUUUCGUAUAUGUUAUAUUUUGAAUUUUUAAAAACGACAAUAAAUGACUAAAACUAUUAAAAUUAUUAUGUUAAAAAUUAAUGAUCAAUUGUUUUCUAUUGUGACUGGCACGACAACACUCCAGAUCGAGGUGUGAGAACAGAUGCAUUUGGUGUUACAUCAGUAAAUUCAAGACGGAAGCUGCAAUAUUAUGAUCCUUUCAUUCUUGCUUCUCAGGCCGAUCAGGUUUGUUAUAUCAAGUACCCCCGGGUAAGGAACAGAGAUGAUCCAUGGGUUACUGUUACAAGACUCAACCCGAGAGGCCGAGUUCAGGGAAGUUCUGAGCUGGAAGACCCACUACAACCAAGCACAUCCGGCAACUUAAGUGCAGCAGAAGAUUUAGCUGGAGUUGGCCUUGUAGUCGAUUUAACCGACUUUGGAGAGGAAGCCGUCGUUCACGUAGAGGAUGAACCAGUGAUUGGAGAGUUUCACCAAGAUCCAGAUUCAGAUUCAUCUGGUGAUGAUGACUCGGAAACAGACUACCAUUGAAUAUAGAUAUGUGUUUGUUAAACCAUUAUAAAAUAUAAAUUGAUAGAUAUAUUAUAAUUUAUUUUUAAUUUAUUUGUGGCUUUAAACAAAUUUGAAAUGAUUUAAAAAAACAGGUACUAAAAAACAUGUGCAUAUUUGCUUGGAUCAAAAUUUGGCAGCCUUUAUAAUAAAUAUUUUAAGGCAUUUGACAUACGGAAACUCUUUUCAUCUGCUAUCUCUAAUUCAAUAUUUUUUUUAAAUACUGACUGCAUUACUUUCAUCGCAUGAACAACAGCCAGUGUGUUAUCCAACACUUUUAAGCUUUUACGAAAACAUCAUUUUGGAAGCUACAAAUGCUAAUAUUUUGAGACUCUUGACUCUGUUUUAUUUUAAAUUUUGUCAACAGACGACUCUGUCUUAUCUUAGAGUUUUACAUUUCCCGUUCUGAUGAAAACCAUCAUAUUAAAACUUACACAUAAGUCAAAUUAGUGGUUUCAAAUACCGAGUCCGUAAUAUGUAUUUACUGUGUUCGAACGGUUUAAUAUAUCCAUGGAAUAUAUCGUACUAUCUUAUUCACACAACAUUUAUAUUUCGAAUAAGUCAACACAACUGGUGUGUGACAUAACCGCAUAAAAUAAAAUACAUACACCAUAAAUUAUUCUGUCAUAAUUAAUAACUAGAGAUUGACCCGCACGCCCGUGCGGGUGUUAAUUUUUACUUUCUUAUAAAUCGAUAUUUUAUUUUUAUGAUUAGUAUUAUAUAUUUUAUAUGUGUCAUAAUAUAAUUAAUUGCAUAAGUACUUUUAAAUUUCUAUACAUCAUAAUCGAACCUGAAUCAAAUAGAGUAAUAUGAUUACUUUUGGUUAUUUGGUUAUUUUUAGUUUAAUUUGAAUUCAGCAUACCCGAAUUGAAUCGGUUAAUAUUCUUACUUUUCAUAUAAAUAUCCGUACCGGCGUCAAAUACAUUAGUUUUUAGAUAUUUGUAGGUUUGUAUAUAUCAAGACUGAAUUCAUCUGGACCCGAUUCAAAAUACACAUGAAAAUUUUUUAAUACUGAAAUGAAGUCUAGUUUCAAAACUCAAAAAGCAUGAUAACCCAAAGAAAUAACUCGUAACUGAAUAGUUAUCCGAAUGUCCAUGUCUAACCGAUACAUAAGUAAAUUAAAAAAAACAUUUGUUAACCAUUUUGAAUUCUUAUCACAAAUAGAGUGGUUUCAUUCAAAUAUGUCGAAUUAUUAUAGUUAAUAUGUAAAUAAUCCUGGAAAAAUAUUAUAGUAAAUAUAAUUAAUGAGAUAGUUAAAAGUGAGAAAAUGAAUAUAAAAGAUAAAAUAAAAAAAUUGAAAACAAAUAAGUUUUGUUUUUCUUGUCACUAUUAUAUAUCAUAUAUAUGUCAUCAUAUAAUUAAUCAUAUUUUAUAUGUACCAUAAUAUAAGUAAUCAUAUAACUAAUAGUAUUUUAUAUGUACCAUCAUAUAAAUAAUCACAUAUAUUAUAUUUAUAAACCUAAUAUGAAAUAUAAAAACCAUAAUUUAAGUUGGUGUUUUAAUUAAGUUUUGUAUUGUAUUUUUCUUAUAUAUAGUAAAAAUAUUUUUUUAAAUGGUUAUUGGAAAAUAUUUUAGUAAAUUGUUUUUUAAAUAUAUAUAUAUAUAUAUAUUUUUGAAUCAAUUUUUUAUAUAAAUUAGUUUUAAAUUAUUAUUUUGAUUUGAAUUUUGUAUAGUAAUAAUUAAAAGUGAGAAAAAUGAAUGUAAAAGAUAAAAUAAAAAUUGAAAACAAAUAAUUUUUUUUUUGUACUUCUGUAAUAAAUUAUAUUAACUUAUUUAGUAAAUAUAAUAGAUGAAGGGUUAGAAUUGAUUAACAAUAGAAUAAAAAUCUUUUAAAAAAUCAAUUAAGAUAAGUAAGUAUUAUUUUGUACUGCUAUCCAUGUUUCCAAACAAUUCUCAUUUAUACUACUAUCCAAGUUUCCAAACAACUCUCAAAUGUACUUCAGUUUUAAUAAUAUAGAUGAAGCCAAACUAUUGUUUCAUUCUCCAAAAUAUAAUAAAAAUAAUAACUUAAUCCCGCGCAAGGCGCGGGUCUUAUCCUAGUUAUAAGUUAUAACAUCAGAUCUUUAAAAACUGGUCAAAGAAGAAAGUUUUGAAAAAACCUAAUAAGCGAAUCAUUCCAAGAAUUGAUAUUUGUUUCUUUUUGAAGAACCUGCAUCAAAUUUCAUAAAAUAGUCAGCGUAAGAUGAAAGCAAAACCUGAAAACGAAUCACCGAUCUACAGAGACUUUAGGUACUGCCGCUUCCAAUCAAAAUAAGUGGUAUUAGGGGUUGAGACUGGGCCGACAAAAUCACUAUGUGGAGCCUUCUUAGAUCUGAAGCAAAGCAAAUGGUUACUGUAUAUCAAACCAAUAAAAGAAAGUUGAAGAUGAGAGAUGAGGAACUAAAGAGUUACUGGUGUCUUGAUGCAGCUACGAAGACCUGAUUUAUUAAUAUAUAUAGAUUUUGGCCUAUACUGUUCAGUAGACUACUAUCUCAUUGUGAAUAGAUUGAUUCGUUUGGAACAAAAAAAAAAUUCAAUUCUUUUGAUCUUUUUGGCGUAUCCUUCAGUAUCACUUUAUUAUCAAGUAGCAAGAGUAACAACAACAAAAAAACUUCUCUUUUAUUACGGUCUUCAGAGUACUUCUUAUUACAUUGGCCUCGAUCGAUUUUAAAGUACAUUAUUUAUGGAACACACACCAUCACUGCGUAGUGUUAACAUACAUCAACAACCACACUCUUCGCCGUGGUAUAUACACUCCCGAGGGUUUCGUUUGGAAUCUAGUAAGAGGGCCCAGGCAUGGUCUUCUGGAAAGGACAAAUGCUAACUUGCGGGAUGUUGCAAACUUUAGGUAAGUGCGUAGCAGUCUGGUAGAUACGGCUAAUUACUUGCUGCAGCUGCUGUCCCUGCUGUCCCUGUUGUCCUCCUUGUUGUCGAACCUGUUGUUUAACGGCUUUGGAUGCUCCUUUCAAGGUUGGGCAAACGCAGAGUGGCUCUUCCUGGUGAAGCUCGUUGCAGCACUGCUGGAGCAGCGGAGGCCUCUGCUGUGGGCCCUGGGGGUUCUCCAUGUCGUCAUCAAAAUCGAACUCACCGUCAAGGGUCCAGCUAGGACCACUACCGGACUGCAUUGCCUGCUUGUGGAGCCAUUGUUGGCAAGCUCUUAGGUGUUGUGCUUGCUGAAACUCCUUCCUACAUUUUGGAAUCCUAAAUGGGCCGGCUGGGUUUGUGGCAUCUUCAUCGACUUCCACAACCGUCCUGUAGACGGAGGCAUUGGUGAGAAGGAAGAAAAAGGCGAGAGUUGCCGAGACGAGGAAGAGCUUGUUCGCCAUUUGUGUAUGUUUUUAACUUUGUUUGUUAUGAUGAGUUUUGGUUUGAGUAAAGAGUGAAGCUGUUAAGUUAAUUUAUAGGUGAGAAUGGAGAUUUGCAUGGCGAUCACGUGUAAUAAUGCAUGCAUUUGUGUGUGUGCGCUGUGAGAGAUAAGCUCUUAUGUGUUCGAAGUGAGUGACAAGUCACUAACAAAAACAGUCAUCCGCAUCUGCAUGCUAUGUGUGAAGUGUAGCUCAUGUCCUGGCGUGACAUCUUAUGAACAAUAUUCUUAAAACAGAAUGUACAAACUUAACUUCAAAAAAUUUAAAAAAACCUUCAGUAUGUGGGGUAAGAGUCUAUAUAUACUUUGGAGGUGGUGCGGGGGCGGUUGAAAAUAUAUAUUGGGAGCUUAAUCAGAAUUCAGAAAUAGUAAAGAAGAUCUAUGUCAUGGUGGAAACUAAAUGUGUCUCGUAUAAUAUCUAACUAAGUAGUAACCCGCGUUUUGCGCGGGAUUAGAUAUCUAAUAAUAUGUUGAUUGUAUAUAUUAUGAUUAUGUACAACAUAUAAGGUGUAGCUCAAUCUCUAUAAUAUUAUUUGAGAAGUCACUUUCCUAUGUGUCGCUUCCACAUUAAUUAUCAGGAUGGUUGAUUAUACUGAUACCCUUAAUGAAUUUAAAAUAUUAAAUACUAUUAUUUAUUUAUUUUAUUUAGCUUGCUUUUAAAAAAUUUCCAAAAACAUAUACACAUAAUAAAAAGGAAUUUUUAAUAAAGUUAAAAAACGAAUUGAAAAACGAAAGAUCUCUAUAAUAUAACUAGAGUCGGCCCGCCCGAGUAUACUUUUCUUAUGAUUUAAGUUACUAUUUUUAUAUGAUUUUGUGCUUUGUGUUUUGGGUUUGCAUUUGCAAGAAAUGUGUAUAUAAUGAUUUAUGUCUUUAAAAAAGUUUUAGAUGAGAAAAGAUUAUACGUGGUAAGAUAUAUUUUACUUGUUUACAAUAAUUGUUUCUAUAUUAAAGAGUUAUGGCAUUAAUAUAUUGUGAGGGCUUCAAAUGGACGAUUUCAUAUUCGAUGUCAAAAUGGUUUAUUUUUUUCUAAUAUUAAUUCUUGUAUAGAUUAAGUAAAUAUUUUCUUAUUUAAUCUCAUACUCAUCGAUCUAAAUUGAACGGUUAUGGGAUAUUUUAAAUUUUUUGUGUUACAAUUGAAAUAAAAAGCAAAGAAAAACACAUUGGUUAAAUAUUUAAUUGGUUUAAAGAGAAUCAUGAACAGCGAUCCUUCGGAAAAAUAUUAAUUGUAUGUUUUCUAUCUCCUUUUAGAAUUUUUUUUGUCUUUUUAACUUUCUAUAUUGUUACCUCUGUAUACUUUAUAACAUUUAAUUUCUGCAAUUACUUCUUUAAAUACUUAACAUGCAGAUUUUAAUACUUUACUAUGACAUUUCCAUUUCUUUUUUUUUUUACUACAGUUAAUAGUUCUACAAAUAUAAUCACAGCUACAUCAUUCACAAUUUACAUAUUGUAAAAUAUGUAUAUAACUCUGUCAAAACAAUUUUCGUAUACUUAAAUAACUUCAUCCACUGCCACUUUCAAGCUCUCAGAGUUACAAAUCUGAAUUGAUCAUGGGUCUUAAGAUGGAGAGCAAAGCAAACCUGCAAAUAUCGCAGAAAGUUGUUAUGCCGCAGAGAACCACAUAAACCUGUAUACCCUAGUAAUAUAUUUAUAUAUAUGUUGAUAUAUAUAUAUAUAUAUAUAUAUAUAUGAUUUCAUAAAAAAAAGUUCACAAAAUAGUAAUAUUACAUUUAAAAAAUAUUUUUAAUUAACAUAAAAUAUACUUUUGAAAUAAGAAAAUACUUUAUUUAUAUCUAUAUUUUCUUAGAUGAAAAAUAUAAAUUUGUAUAUAAUGUGAUUUCAUUAAAAAUAUUUACACAGAUAAUCUUGAUAUUAGAAACAUAAAUAAUAUUUCUUUUAAAACAUAAUUUUAAACAAUACAAAAAAAAGUUCAAAGUAAUAGAAUUUUUUUUAUAUAUCCAUCUAUUUUCUUAGAUGACUAGGGGACUAGGUAAUAAUCCGCGCGAGCCUUGCGAGGAAUAUGAUUAUUAGUUUCGUUAUUUUUAAUAAAAAGACAUUAAAUCAGUUUAAUCUGGAUAUUAGUUCGGUAUUAAGUUUUUUUUCGUUUUUAAUCUUCUAAAAUAUAACUAUUAUUUUAAAUUAAUAUUCAUUUUAGUAUAUUCGGUUAAAAUAUUUGAAUUUUGGUUUUUUUUCCGGUAAAAACCAAAAUUAAUAUUAUUUAUUUAUUUUCAUGUUAUAAAUUUUAGAUAGUCGUCAUGUCGAACCAAUAGUUUCUAAACAGAUAAUAGUUUAAGAAAAAGAAAAGAAAAUUAUUAAGACAAAUCAUUUCACUACAAUUUGGUCGGUAGUGAAAGAAGCAUUAAGAAAUAAUAUUUCAACUUUUAAAAAAAUUAGAUACUUCAUUUGUGGUGAAUACUUAGUUACAAGGUAUUCACAUCAAGGUGCACAUAUAUGUGUAUGUAAAAAGUAUAUAAAAAUAGUUGACAAAUAUAUAAAUAUAUUGUUAAUUAAUAUUAAAUGAUAUUUUUUUUUCAUAAUAAUUAUGGGUGGGCGUUCGGAUACCCAUUCGGGCUCAGUUUGGAUCUAUUCGCGUUUCGGGUUUUCGGUUUAAAGAUUUCAGCCCCAUUCGGGUAUUUCUAAAUUUCGGUUCGGAUCCUUGCGGGUUCGGUUCGGAUUCGGAUAACCCAUUUAAAUUAUUUUUAAAAUUUUAAUAUUCAUUUUAUGCUUAAAAUUUCUCAAAAUCUAUAAAACAAAAUAAUAUAUUACAUAGAAUUUGUAUAAUAUAUGUCAAAAUAUCUAAAAUUUACAUAUAAAUUGGUUUGAUUUGAAUAUUUUGAUACAAAAUCAAUUGAUAUUUUAAGUAUUUUGGUGCUUUGAAUAUAUUUUAGCUAUUUUAGACAUUUACUUUUGACUAUUUAUGUAUAUUUUCAAGUUUUUUAGACAACUUAAAAAUAUCUUAUAUAUUUUAGAUGUGUUUAAUAUAUAUAUUAAAUCUAAAAAUAAGUAAUAUAUUUAGGUAUAUAAAUCUAUUUCGGUUAUGUUUGGGUACCCGAGAUAUUUCGGUUCGGGUCGGGUUCGGUUUCGAUUCUUUAGAUACCAAAAUAUUGAACCUGUUCGGAUAUUUAAUCAAUUUUGGUUCGGGUUCGGUACUACUUUUUCAGAUCGGGUUCGGUUCAGUUCUUCGGAUCCGGGUUUUUUGCCCAGCCCUAAUAAUAAUACAUGAAAGAUAAAAUUAAAAUUAAUUUAAAAUAAAAAAGGCUUUGACAUUAUUCAUUUUUUAUAUAUAAAGAAAAUAAAUUUGUAUCCGUAAACAGGGGUGGAUACAGAUCAAAUAUCUGGGUAUUUGGAAGCAUUCGUGUCGAUUCGAUCUUUAGCCACCUAGAUAUUUAGUGACUCGGAUAACCGAAAUGUUUUAGAAUUUUUAAAAAUAUAAUAAAUUUAAUUCAUAAAAAAUAUUGUAAAACUGAUAUAAAGUAUAAUAUAUAUAACGUAUAUAUAUAAUUUUUUACAUAUAUGUAUAUAUAGAUAUGCAUAUAACAUAUCGAACUAGAUAUAUGUUCCUAAAAAUAUUGGUAUUUGUGAUUUGCUUCUUUUUUGGAUAUUGUAUUUUAGUAUUUGAUUUGUUUCGUAGUGUUACAGAUAUCCAGAUUUUUUGGUUCAAAUCAAAACAUAUAACGAAUCAAAUCAAAAUUUAUGAAUAUUUUGCUCAAUUUUAUCCGUAAACAAUAAAAAUAAUAUAUAUAUAGUUUAGCUUUUGAUUCGUUAUCUAUUUUUAUUCAAACAAAAAAAUCCAGAGUUUUAUUGAAACUAUGUAUGUGAGUUUUAUAUUAAAAAAAUCGCAAAAUACAUAGUGUGAAUACAUUUAUGAAUAUAAUGUGAACGCGUUAACAUACUUAUUAUCAAAUCAUUGUAAGACUGUCACGUGUCUAGUGUGGAUACAUUUAUUGCAAUGCUUUUUUUUUAAUAUAUAAGGGAUAAAUGCACUAGUGCCUCUUGUGUAACUGUAACCAGGGACGAAUGUGAUGCAGCUCAAUCUCUGAUCGCACACAAUCAACACGAGACUGCCAAGGUUCACGACUCUCUUCCAUAUAGGAAUUUCCUUUUAUAUUAAAGUCGGUUUUAACUUUCCUUUUUAGGUGUUUUCGUUUUCCUUUUAGAAAGAGGAGUUAACUAAUCCUCCUAUAGGUUUAUGUUUUUCGUUUCUAGUAUUUAAAGGGUCCUAAUCAAGCUUGUAAGGUCACGAUUGGUUAAUAUUGAAUACAUCUUUAGAGUUUUUAAAAAGCUUUAACAAGCGCUGCGAAGAGUAUUCGCGUCCUAUUAUCCUUGUGUCCGAGUUACCUUCAAGAACAUGUUACCAAUCUAGUGAUCAAACCCUUGAUCCCUAGGUUUCCUAGCUUCCGCUCUCCAUCAGAAUAUAUAGGUGCACUUGUAGUCUUGUACCCACUAUUUUUUCUAAAAAGAAAUAUUUUCUAAAAAAAUGUUAAAAUCUAACAAAAAUGGGCAAAACUAACCUAGCAACCAGUAUUUUGUUGGUUUGCCUCCUCUGCUUUCACCAUUUUAUUUGUUCUUCUCUUUACAUUUACUUCAAUCAAUGUUAAAUUUAUUUGAUUUAAAAGAAUUUAUAAAAUGGAUGCAACACUAACUAGGCCUAGUAAAAUAAUCAUGUUGAAUUUUCGAAGGGCAUGCUGAUGUUGUUCUCUAUGCUUUCCUCCAUUACGUUUACGCCAAAUAGUGUACACCACUAGAGUCGGGCAUGUAGACAGUAUUAUAAAAAAAAUUGAAUGGAACACCCACUUUACAAGAGCCCUACUACAAAAAUUGUAUAUAUGUAUUUAUAUUUUUGAUAUAAUAACAUAGAUAUAUUAACUGUAAAAUAUUGAUAAAAAAUUUAGUUGAUAAAAAUAUAUUAAAUGAUCUAUACUAUUAUUUGCGAAGUAAUUUUUAGCAACGAAACUCUCACGUUGAAAGUUAGAGUUGUUAAUAUCUAUAUUACUCUUAAUGAAUUUUAUGUAUAUAUAUUAAUUAUAUAAUCAAAAACGAAUUUUGAUUAAUAAUGUCUUAUAUAUUAAAAGAGAAGUCACAACCUUGAUUCAUGUGUGAUUUUUUUAAAAAUGGACUAUCACUAGAAAGAAGUUAUGUUUCAUUUAUUUCUUAGUAACAUUUUGCUAUAAUUAAUUAAUCACAUAAUAAUAAUCGACUAUUAUAACAACUUUUUCCUAUAAAGCCGGCUCCGUUUAUGAAAACAUUUUAACCGAUAAAUCACCUAAUAUAUGUCGAUUUGGAGCUGUGCUUUACGCUCUUGUAUGCCCUAAACCUCCACCCACUGCGACUCCUUAGCAAGUUAAACUCUUUAAAGAAAUAACCUGUCCUUCAGUACUGCGUAAGAGAUCUUCUAUCAAAAGAAAAAUUGUUAGCGAAGCUCAGAAAACGUUUUGUAUCUCUCAUGCUAAUCAGUAUGUUGAAGCUGGAACUUACUUGCGUGUGCACGUUUAACCAAAACGUUCCCCAAGGUACACUGUUAGAAAACUGUUUGAAAAUUGGAAAGCUUUGGUGAUAAUAUUCACUGCACACAUGAUGGAUUGUAUCAGGUAUUAUGAAAUUGACUGGAAGUCGCGGAUUAUUGCUGUGACUGACUCUUCUUAUGUCGUUUUGGAUAAACUUGCCGGGACUACGGUACUUUUAUUCAUCCAUUGCACUAUCUCUUCUCAAUGUUCUUGACCACUGUAGUUUCACUAGAGAUCUUUAAAGAACUUUCUCUUGUGAAUAUUGUUAGUCUCAGUUUUAUACAUUUUGGGAUUGUACCAGAAUGUAUUUUUGUGUUCUAUUUCUUGGUAAUGAGGAUCGAAAAACAAUUCAUUCGAUCUUAAAACUUUAGAUACUAAAAAGCCAGGGUUCUCAGUGAUUCAGUGUGCUGACCCACAUGACCACAAUAAUUCAGUUUCUCAGGUUGGGGAAACCACAGAUAAUAUCGAAGAGAGCUGUGCGACAUUUUCCUUAUGUGCAUUAGAUUCCGCAGAACCACUGAAACAACACAUCAGAUUGAUAACUGCACAAAAGGCUGUACUUUCCCUUUUAAAACUUUUCUGCUUCAUACUUUUGCAGAUUUUUUUACUAAAAUUUGUAGAUUUAACUUCUUGAAAUGACCAGGUCGCAUUGCUUUUUUACUUUCUCUGUAGUAUAAUCUUUGCUAGGACAAAAGAGUAUUGAUCGGUCUUCCUCACAGAAAUACGAGUGAGUUUGCUUUGCUUCUAUUUCGUUUGACUGGAAAAUCAAGAAGACAUGGUGAAAUAUUUCAUUAUUUUCUAUAUGUUUUUACUUCUUUUCAAGAAUAAGGAGGUGAGGAAACUUCGUCGUGCUGUUGAGUCUUGAUACGGCCGUUGUAGUUCGAACUCUAACGGUCUAACCUAUGAUAAGUGGAAUAAAUCCUUGAUUUGUUUAUAGUUAUGAGUUUGGUUUUGCUGUGUACUUGGUCAUUUCAUAGCUCAGACCCAACAUAUAUACCCUCUCAUCCGACCACCAAAUAAUAUCCCAUCCAACCCAACACCUACAAUACAAUAUUAAGCUUCUUGAAUUAAGUCCUACUUAUUGAGUAACUAGCCUCUCUAUUUUGACUUGGGGUGCAUUGAACAACUCUGAUUAGUUAUUUCUUCAAAAUGAUUCUCAAUAUUUGUCUAUUGUGUAAUAUUUUAACUCGGUGUUUCUUAUAUUUUUAAAUUAAAAUAAAUUUAAAAAUAAAAUUUAUUAAUAUUGUAGAUUUUAUUAUUUUACCAAGUUUUAAUAGAAAUUUUAUUUAAUUAAGCAUUAUUAUUAAAAUUAAAAAUAAUUUUGCUUAUUUUAAAAUAUAUUUAAGAAUAUAUAUAGUUCUAUAUUAAAAAUAAUAAUCUUCGCUAAAAUUUUAUCUAUUUAUUUUGGUUAAAUAUAUUAAAUCAACCUUUUUUUUUGAAUUAAAUCAACCUUUAUAAAACUAAUAAAAUGAUAUACAAUUGUAUAAUUAUCAAAAAUAAAACUAAACAAUAUUUAUAAAGAAAACUUAGAUAUUAUAAAAGAAACUAAUGAUAUUACGAUUAAAUUUUGCUUAAAAUAAUAUAGAACGUUUUAAAAAAAUUAGUAAUAAAAAUUGUAUAAUUAUAAAAAUAGAAUAAAUCAUCUUUAGAAAUUUAGAAAAUCAUAUCUGAAUAUAUUUAUUUUAACAAUGAUGUAUGAAUUAUUACCAUAUUUUGAUAUACGAGUUAUUAUUAUAUUCUAAAAAUUUCAAUAUUUUAAUACAUUAGUAAUACGUUAAAUAUUUUAAUAUUAUAAUAUAUAUCACGAAUGUUGCAAAAAAAAUGUUUACGUAAUGGAAAUAAAUACCCGCGCUGUUGCGCGGGUCAAGAUCUAGUUAACUUGUUAAAACAAUAAGAUAAUUCUUAUAUAUUAUGUUGUUAUCUUAAAACAUAUGUUUCAAUUAUAAAUUUUAAAAAUAAAAUAUAAAACAAAGUUAGAGUGGUUAAUAUCUAUAUUACCCUUAAUGAAUUUUAUGUAUAUAUAUUAAUUAUAUAAUCAAAAACGAAUUUUGAUUAAUAAUAUUAACUUUUUAAAACAAUAAGAUAAUUCUUAUAUAUUGUGUUGUUAUCUUAAAACAUAUUCUUAUAUAUAUAUGUUUUAUUUUAAAAAAUAUAUAAAACAAUUAAUAAAUUUUAAUUAAACAUAUAUAUUUAAUUAACUUUGUUAUAUAUAUUUAUGUUUUAUUUAAUUUUUUGAAAACAUAAAUAAUAAGUUAUUAUGCUGAUUUUGAAUUAAAAAAAAUAAACUAAUAAAUAGUUGUAAAACGAUUAAGCCUGCAUAUGCGGGCAAGACACUUAGUUUUGUUAUUAUUAUUGUAGUUUAGAUAUAAAUAAGUAAUAUACUACAAAAUUAUGUUUUUGUAAACAAAAUUUUAUUUAUAAAUUUUACAAAAAAAUUAAAUAAUUAAUAAAUAUUUUUUCGAAUAAAGUCGCGGAAAUCGUUUUUUUAAAAGAAAUCUUAAGACCCACCACUCCGUGAAAGGAUGCAACUAACAAAGAGGGAGGGUCAGCUGACCCCACAAAAUAAUUAUUAAACAUUAAAGAUAAAUUUAAUUAUACAACUAAAAUAUUUAUACAUUUUUAUCUUUAAAACUUAAGAUAUGUUAGUUUUAAUCUCAUUUUUUUAUAGUUAAAAAAAAUUAUAACGCUGAUAUAAGAAAAAAAAAAUUCUGAUCUGGUAUAAAAUAUUUCGGGCUCCGGCGGACUGCAUGAAACAUGUAUUGCAAUGUAAAGAGAAUGGUAAUGUCCCAACCAUCAUCCACCAAGAAGAGUUGAACAAUAUAUAGUAUCCCAGCGGUUAGAGUAUUUAGCAUUUAUUAAAAGUUAUAGAUGAUCAAUGGUACAGAAAUUUACUACCUUUGCUAUCAAAGUACUGUUUAUAAGUAAAGGCAACAUCAGUAAUUAAUAUUUGCAGGAAUUUACAGAUGCAUGGUGAUCAAAAAGAGUUUCGAAGUAUCUGAUCAUACCAGAUUAAUUUGAGUCAUUGGUUGAUCCCAGUGGAUAAUCUUUUAUUAUUGGCCUCGAAGGCUUUAAUUAACAUUUAGUCUAUUCUGUUCAUUGGACUACUUGUGAAUAGAUUAAUUGUUCUGUUCUUUUUGGCGCAUCCUUAAUUAUCACUUUUUAUGAAGUAGCAAGAGUAACAAAAAUUAAAAAACACCUCUUUUAUUACGGUCUACGAGUAGUUCUUAUUACAUUAGCCGCGAUUUUAAAGUACAUUAUUUAUGGAACACAUACCAUGGCUGCGUAGUGUUAACAUACAUCAACAACCACACCCAUCAUCGUGGUAUAUACACUCAGAGGGUUUCGUUUUGAAUCUAGUAGGAGGGGCCAGGCAUGGUCUUCUGGAAGGGACAAACGCUAACUUGCGGGAUGUUGCAAACUUUAGGUAAGUGAGUAGCGGUCUGGUAGAUUCGGCUAAUUACAUGCUGCAUCUGCUGUCCCUGCAUUUGUCCCUGUUGUCGAACCUGCUGUUUAACGGCUUUGGAUGCUCCUUUCAAGGUUGGGCAAACGCAAAGUGGCUCUUCCUGGUGGAGCUCGUUGCAGCACUGCUGGAGUAGUGGCGGCCUCUGUUGUGGGCCCUGGGGGUUCUCCAUGUCAUCUUCAAAAUCAAACUCACCAUCGAGG